Molecule: ribosomal RNA, 121 nt
Filed under: Anoxybacillus sp. ST4
Lineage: Bacteria; Bacillati; Bacillota; Bacilli; Caryophanales; Anoxybacillaceae
Description: partial 23S ribosomal RNA
Rfam family: Bacterial large subunit ribosomal RNA
Source: RNAcentral
GAGAUUUCCCAUCGCGUCAAGCGAGUAAGAUCCCUUGAAGAUGACAAGGUUGAUAGGUCCGAGGUGGAAGCGUGGCGACACGUGCAGCUGACGGAUACUAAUCGAUCGAGGACUUAACUAA